RNAcentral lists this long non-coding RNA (251 nucleotides) under Equus caballus (horse). Its description in RNAcentral is "lncRNA (ENSECAG00000046759.1)". The record is from RNAcentral. Lineage: Eukaryota; Metazoa; Chordata; Mammalia; Perissodactyla; Equidae.
GCCCCAUAAAAUGCCCCUGUCCCCUCCCUGCGACAGUGUAGUCACAGGCAAGCUCCUGCCCCGGAACCGCAGCUCCUGGAAUGCCAGCGAGGAGAGUCAUGCUUCCAGGGAGAGCAGUCGCUGUCUCCAGAGUCUUAUUUUGAAAUGCAAAUACCCUGGCGAGGGUAAUAAAUACCCUGCCAUGUGACAAGAUAAAUAGGGCAGCCCCUUGCUGUGUCCGUGGGAUAGGCUGGAUGAUGCUGCCAUGACAG